ACCUCUUGUUGUGCUCCAACCGCUCAUAGACCCCAGGUCACCAACAAAGGCCAACUCCUGGAGCAGAGUGUUUCCAUGUGGUUGCCUUUUGGAUGAAGGUCAAGAUGAGCAGAGACCACCAAGCACAUUUCAAGAAGGAUAUUAGAUUUCACUCGGACCAGGAGCUCAGAAAAUUUUAGGGAGUUGGAGAGUAUCAGAUCUCCCCAUCUACGUGAGAUAUCUCUUCCCUCCAGUCCAUUUUCUAUUUUACAUCGAGUGAUCUUUUAAAAUGGUUUGUUCGGCUUUUUUUGAGGAAGAUUAGCCCUGAGCUAACUGCGGCCAAUCCUCUUCUUUUCACUGAGGAAGACUGGCCCUGAGCUAACAUCCAUGCCCAUCUUCCUCUACUUUAUAUGUGGGACACCUACCACAGCAUGGCGUGCCAAGUGGUGCCCUGUCUGCACCUGGGAUCCGAACCAGCGAACCCCAGGCUGCCAAAGCAGAAUGUGCACGCUUAACUGCUGCACCACCAGGCCAGCCCCUUCAGGUUAAAUCUGUAUUUGGUGAGAAUCCUGAUGGAUGAAAACAUGACCACACAGUGAUUAUUACAGUGGACUAAGAAUGCAGAUUUAGUGCUUGGAGACGCAGGCAAAGAAGGCCAACUUUGCCAAGGCACCCACCAUCUCUGCUGCCAGUGCCCUCUUGAGGAAGGUCCCCACCGUGCCUAGCACCGAAUCCACUUGGGAGUCUCCUCUACCCAGCACCAGAGCUGCUCGGUGGGCUCUGGACGAGUGAGGGAAGGAAGGCGAGCCGCUCUGUUUCUGCUCGAGACUUCAGUGACCACAGCACUUCAGGGCUUGGGUCUACGCUUUCGGAUUUUAUGGUUUAUGGACAAAGCCUUAGGCUGGUGGGAGAGUAGAGAACUCGCAUCCUCUCUCUGCUAUCUUUCUUCCCCUUCUUUUUCCAAGUGCUCAUGCGAAAUAACACCCCUUCCUGUACUUGUAAGAUCCAAACUUAAGUUCCUUCCACAUCCCUUCCAUGCAUUUAGUCCCCCUCCCUUCACCUACACGACGCCUUGGUCAAUUCGUCAUGCUCGACAGGGCUUGGAUUUGAAAAAUACGAAUUUUAAUAAAAUAAUGUACAUCCUUCAAAAGGGAAUAUGUUGUCUUCAGCAUCCUUUAAUGAUCUGGUUGUAGCUGAAGGACGCCUAUCAGAUAUAAGCAGGGGAACUCAGAGAUAGUGCUGUCUGAAGUGACUGAUGUUUGGUGGCCCCCUCUGAAUCAGGAAGAACAGUCGUCCUGGAGUCGUAAACCCUGAGCAAUGAGCUUACACAGCUGUGCCCGAGGCUAUGAGGUCUUGACGCCACUCCCAGGUGCCAUCCCUCUCUGCCUGUGUCACCACGUACUGCGCCUGCUGAGUCUCCUGUUACUUUGCAC
RNAcentral lists this long non-coding RNA (1412 nucleotides) under Equus caballus (horse). RNAcentral's name for it is "lncRNA (ENSECAG00000048158.1)". Lineage: Eukaryota; Metazoa; Chordata; Mammalia; Perissodactyla; Equidae. The record is from RNAcentral.